This 327-nucleotide ribosomal RNA is filed under the name uncultured eukaryote. RNAcentral describes it as "partial 18S ribosomal RNA". It matches the Rfam family "Eukaryotic small subunit ribosomal RNA", at positions 1470 to 1796 of the family's 1831-position model. The record is from RNAcentral.
CCCUUCGAUGUUCUGGGCCGCACGCGCGCUACAAUGGAUGAAUCAACGCGUCAUCCUGGCCCGAAAGGGUUGGGGAACCGCUGAACCUCAUCCGUGGUUGGGAUUGGGGUUUGUAAUUAUUCCCCAUGAACUAGGAAUUCCCAGUAAGCGCGAGUCAUAAGCUCGCGUUGAUUACGUCCCUGCCCUUUGUACACACCGCCCGUCGCUACUACCGAUUGGAUGGUUUAGUGAGAUCCUCGGAUUGGUCACGGCACGGUGGCAACACUGCGUCGGUGUGCCGAGAAGACGAUCAAACUUGAUCAUCUAGAGGAAGUAAAAGUCGUAACA